AUCCAGCCAACGAGUCCUAAAUAGGACGGAACACACGUCCUGGAU
Molecule: non-coding RNA, 45 nt
Organism: Schistosoma rodhaini
Lineage: Eukaryota; Metazoa; Platyhelminthes; Trematoda; Strigeidida; Schistosomatidae
Source: Rfam